Molecule: long non-coding RNA, 3858 nt
Organism: Tympanuchus pallidicinctus (lesser prairie-chicken)
Lineage: Eukaryota; Metazoa; Chordata; Aves; Galliformes; Phasianidae
Exons: 3
Source: RefSeq, a predicted model, not a curated record
CAUACACAGCAUGGAAACUCCAAAUGCUCUCCUGUUUAUUCCUGAAGUUUUGCUGAAUACAGGUACAAAAUAUCACAGAAAACUCCUGACCGAAUUCUGUUGGAACUUUCUGUAGCUGCUACACACAACAUCAAGUAAGUAAUCAUAAUUACCAGUUUUUAAUGAUUACAGCAACAACAAAAGAAAUCCUGAAGAGUUUGGUAAAUCUUUGAAAAUUCUACACUAUUUUUCUCCCUCUCAGUUUUGUCACUGAAGAACCGUUUAUGAUGAACAUUGCAAUUCCACCAGUUCUUCUUGGCUGCUACUACCCAUCAUUUCACACAGAUCUGGUUACACACGCACAAAAAAGUCAUCAAUGUAUUGGAAGAAGACAAAGAGAGAGACUGUUCCUGUUUAUGCAGAACUUCUGGAGAUGCAAUACAGAAACCUUCACAGCAAGACCUAUGAUCCAAUACACUCGCUUGAAAUUUCUGGCAAUGUCAUGGUUAGUGACUCUCCUUCUGAUACCUUUUCUAGUAGCUUCUGACUUAGCUUGCAGUAAUGCCUGUGAACUGACUUUGGUGAGAUGUGGAUAAAAAGCUCAUAAUACACUUAACCAACAGCAAAGUUUCAUGGGGGAAAAACCCUUUGUUGUCUUACUUUCCCCCCCCCUACAGCUUUUUGAGAUGAAAUUAUGAGUUGGAAGUAGAGGAUCCAAUGAAACUAAAGACUGAGGCUUUUAUUCACAGCUUGGUGGCACAGAGAUCGAUUUGGCCCUCUUGGCCUUCAUAGGGAAUGUGGAGAAAGUCUGGAAAAUAGCAAGUCUUCAUUGGUGCUGAACAGCAUAAGCUGAGGGAAAGGCUGUGAGCUACAGCAAGCUCAAACUUAAAAGAUUACUGUGCCUCUACUUUAUUGGCAUUGUCUGCCCCAGGAAGGCAGUGAAUGAGGGCAAAUGUUUGCACAUUCAUUCCUCACUGCAGAGUGUUUUGUAUUCCUAUUCUGUGCCUGGAGCUCUCUCAUACUCAAGAUUAAAAUGCUGCUGACUCUCCUUUUCUGAUGUUUUUUUCUGCUUGGGCUCUUAAAAGCACUGGUUAAAAGGGCUUUCUUCCCGGUCACAUAGGUUAGUUUCUAUUUUAAGAAAAAAAUGAUUGCAGGGUGAUCUCGAGUUCCAAGUCUCCAAUAAAGCUCUAUUCGGUUCCCACAGUUAGUCCUGCAGAGCUGAGAGGAUCUCUCAGUCAUGCACCACACUAUUGCAUAAGUCACAGAAUCAUUGCAGAAUCACAGAAUGAGCUGAGUUGGAAGGAAAGUUACAGAUCAUCUAUUUCCAACCCCCUGCCAUGGGCAGGGACACAUCCCACUUGGCUAGGUUCAAAGUCCGAUCCAACAUGUCCUUGGACAUUUCCAGGGAUGGGACAUCCACAGUUUCUCCAAACAUCUUAUUGCCAUACCUCAACACCCUCCAGUGUUCACUGGAGUUGAAUGACACUAGCAGACACUUAAACUUCAUCCAAUCCCUCAUGCUGAAUGAGAGAGAUUGCUAACCAAUCAAAACACCUUUUGAAGUGUACAAGUAUUUAUUUGGUUAAAAACUAUUUUGACGAAGAUUUUCUAUCUUCACAAAUAAUUUAAGCUUUAGCUUUUAGUCUUGCUAGUACCAUUUUAUUUUAUUUUAUUUUAUUUUUAAUUUUAAUUUUUGAGUACUAACCUUUUUGAAACAAGAAUUUGGUUAUUCCCAGGGCUUACAAGGUCUUUGGCUGGGUAUAAAAUUUUUAGAGUGACAGAGACAGAAAGGCAUUUGGAUGUCUUUGCUAACAUAUGUUCACUUACAGUGUUUUUUGUGUCUGUUAAUGAAAGGGGAGUGUGCCAGUUUAGAUAACUGAGGGAGUUCAAACAGGCUGAGGUUAAUGUAGCCAUACAUUACAUGCAAACAUACAACUCAACUGAAUUGAUAAUUAGAUCUUUUAUAGAAAUUCCAUGAUUUUUGAAGUAUGAUUCUGCUUAAUUAUAAAACAUACAUCAAAGAAAUAUUAGCUCACUGUUUUUCUAAGUGCUGUUAAGUAGACCAGAAAAGAAUGAGAGAGAAAAAGUAAUAAAGCUUGUCUUCAAUAAAUUUCAGUAUUUUCUGAGUUCCAUAUGCAGCUCAAUACAAUUCCUUCUUCCUCGAUAACUAGAGAAUUACAAAUAGAAUCAAAUUCCUGGAGCUCUGGUGUAAUGACAUGUUGGGAGAAGGGAGUUCAGAGACCUGUCUUCUGUGUGAAAUGUGAAUUUGAAAUGCUUCAGUGGGUGUGGGAAGAAUACAGAUAUGAAGUUGAUUUUCAGCUCUUUUGCAGACCAACAGUGCAAGUGAUGUAGGUUCAAGAUAUCCUGGAUAUACAGCACUUUAUAAUAACUGCAGUGGUUUGUGCAGACUAAAAGUAAUAUCUAGGAAAACACAGUCCUCUCUAUCUGGAAGAAAUGUCUAGGUGAGAAAAAACGAUAUGGGUGAGCGAAUCCAAAUAUGCAUCUACCUGAUAUAGAGAGUUGUCUAUGUAACGUAUCAGCAAACUUUUGGUUUUCAUUUUCAUACAGACCCGCUCAGGAGCUGAACUCUUGUACCAUUUUUCUUGAAGGCAUGGCUCUGCUAGGCAAAAUUGUUUGACAAAAUCCAUCUCAGUGAUGUGCAAACAAUUUUUUUCAUAGCCUUUUCCCACUGUUUCUUCUUUGUGUCAAUAUGUCUGAAUUGCUUUUGCAGACUUUCCUGACUUCUUCUGCCUCACGCAGUCUUUGCAAGGAAUCCCAGAAUAAGUUUACUCCUGGUUUGAAAGUAAGAAUUAAAAUGUAGACAUGCAGUCUCCCUUCCAGUUAUGCUGCCUUCCCAAUGGAUUCCACUGUGCUUCAUGCUUCGUUUCUUGUCCUAUAUGUCCACAGAGAAUAGGAGCAUGAGCAGAUGACAUAUGUCACUUGUUUUGCUGAAGCUCUGCUCUUGCCAGCUGUGAGACUCUAAUGGGGGUUCCCUAGUUGACUUCAGAGGGGCAACUUUGAUUUCAAAAUGAAAGCUAUGAUUGCUGAUGCCUUGGCUUUUACCCACAGCACAUCCUGGUACAACUCAUUGCCACUGCAGCAAGAUGGGUCCUGGAGGAAAAGACCAACCUUUCAAGCAUUAGCAGGCACUGUGCCACCUCCUAGCAUUUUCAGUCAUCUUGAAGUCUACAUUACUUCUUCAAACUAGCUGCAACAUAUCCACAAUGAAAGUUAAGCUGUAAUUUUGGCCCUGGCCAUCCUGACAAGAGUGGCUCAAAAAAUGUACACUAAAUAAUGUUGAUGAAGAUGUGACUCAUCCUUGCAGACACCUAUGUAAGAGCCCAGGAUAGUCAGACACAGCAGCUUCUUGUCCCUUUGUCCCUUAGAGCAGUGUGAGAAGAUGGCACAGGACCUCUGGUUCUCUGGCUGGAAGCAAACAGGAAGGGCUGGAUAGAUGGAGGUAAUUACAGGGAGUGACAGCAAGUUUGUGAUUUUGUCUGACAAAGGGAUAAAUUUGAUUUCCUUUCUCCUUUAUGCAUAUUUGUUGGUUACUAUUUUGGCUUCAGCCCUGCUUUUCUGUUCCUUCCUUUCAUUCGUUCAUUCUACAUUUUCUUCUCUGCUUAUUUGGUACUGUGUGACUAACCAUCUCUGACUUUGUUUUUAGGCAUUAACGGCUUGGGCCUGAUUUUGAAAUGAAGCCUGAACAUACUUGGUAAUGUUUUCAAAAGCGUUAGAUGGUUUGAAAAAUCACCUGAGACUCUGACAGUCUUUAGUCACCCAAAUCCUAGGGGAAAUUUGGCCUUUUUAUGACAAAUUACAUGCUAAGAUAAAGCACCGUGUUAGUCUUCAUUGAAUUAUAAGAUAAAUAACAUGCUUUGG